Molecule: ribosomal RNA, 478 nt
Filed under: Streptococcus parasanguinis
Lineage: Bacteria; Bacillati; Bacillota; Bacilli; Lactobacillales; Streptococcaceae
Description: bacterial SSU rRNA
Rfam family: Bacterial small subunit ribosomal RNA
Source: RNAcentral
GAUGAACGCUGGCGGCGUGCCUAAUACAUGCAAGUAGAACGCUGAAGCUUGGUGCUUGCACCGAGCGGAUGAGUUGCGAACGGGUGAGUAACGCGUAGGUAACCUGCCUCUUAGCGGGGGAUAACUAUUGGAAACGAUAGCUAAUACCGCAUAAAAGUCGACAUCGCAUGAUGUUGACUUGAAAGGUGCAACUGCAUCACUAAGAGAUGGACCUGCGUUGUAUUAGCUAGUUGGUGAGGUAACGGCUCACCAAGGCGACGAUACAUAGCCGACCUGAGAGGGUGAUCGGCCACACUGGGACUGAGACACGGCCCAGACUCCUACGGGAGGCAGCAGUAGGGAAUCUUCGGCAAUGGGGGCAACCCUGACCGAGCAACGCCGCGUGAGUGAAGAAGGUUUUCGGAUCGUAAAGCUCUGUUGUAAGAGAAGAACGAGUGUGAGAGUGGAAAGUUCACACUGUGACGGUACUUACCAGAAA